RNAcentral lists this long non-coding RNA (7901 nucleotides) under Zea mays. RNAcentral's name for it is "long non-coding RNA (ZMAY_LNC001846)". Lineage: Eukaryota; Viridiplantae; Streptophyta; Magnoliopsida; Poales; Poaceae. The record is from RNAcentral.
GAGAGGUGGCUCGGCUAGGGGAUUUUUUUUGGGCGCCAUGACUGGGAGCAGAGGGUCAAGCUGCUGCUGCUAUGGAGUCCUUGCUGCUGGAAUUUCUGGGCGUCCAUGGGAGGUGGAGCGCAGAGCUGCUGCGCAGUGGGGCAAAAGGGGAGCAAGGGCUGGCAGCCAUGAACAGGGGGCUGCUGCUGGCGUGAGGGAGGAGUGGAAGAGCUGCAGCCGUGGGGAGGAAGAAGGUGAGGGGUGACGCCCAUGGAGCAGGGCUCGCUGGUGGCUGCUGCCGCCCUGCGCAAGGAGGAAGAAGGUGCGUGGGGGAGAAAGGAGAAGAGAGUGGCGGCUGGAAUUUUUUGAGGGGUGAGAGUGGAAAAUUUUCAAGUGAGCACCCCUAUUUAUAGAAGCAACCCUAGGGUUAGGGUUCUUUAGUGGGCCUAGUGGGCUGGGAUGGAUUUGGCCCAAAUACGUACUCGGGCCGCGUUAAUUUAUUUUCCCGAAUAAAAAUGCUCCCGCGGAAUUCGUCUGUACGCGGAACAGAGUGAAACAGAAUUCGGACGAACGGACGACUACGCGAUUAACUCGGUCGAGAGGUUGAUUUGGCUUUGCUCGAAAAUAAUUCCCUACGCGUGAUUUGAAAAUAAAUCGUCUUAAGAUUUGAUCGGCUUUGGAUUUUUAGCCGGAGAAGGCGAAUCGUGAUAUUUUUAAAAUUGCUGUCGAUACGGGGUUCUGAAUUUGGUUUGGACAUGAGAUAUUUGGCUGAGUCGAGUAAGAAAUAAUUAGAGGACGACGUACUGAGUAUUCCGUGUGAGAGUACGGAGUCGGAUUAAUUUUUGGACAUAGAUCGAACAUGGAUCGAAGUUUCGAGGAAUUAGAUUCGGGCUCAGAUCAGAUAACAGUCGUCGAGAGUUUGAUUUUAAAGAGCUUCAGAUGAGAUUUAUAAUUCGAGAAUGAUCUUCGAGUCUGCAUUAGUUCCGAGAAUUAAAAGUUUUAACACGCUCCAAAAUUGGCUGUUUCUCGCGAUCGAUUAACUCUGAAUUCGGUGAACUUCCAAGAGAAAGCCUGAUAAACAGAGAUAGACACGAUCGGGAAAUAGAAAUUUUUUACCGAGCAUCCGAGAGUAGGAUUAAUCUCCCGACAUAACGCGAAAUAGACACCUGGGGUGUCACAGCCUUCCCCCCUUAAACAGAAUCUCGUCCCGAGAUUCGAAUGAGGAUAUUUAAGGGUGGAGAAGCAUAUAACUCCCAGACUGAAGAUAGAUGCAAAUUCAUGAGAGGGUAUCUGACAAGAUACCGAAGACAGAUUUGGUUAGAAUAUCGCGACAUAUCGAGACAAAAUGCAGCGAUCAUUCUGAGAGAAUGUUCACAAAAGAUAACACAUCAGUAUAGUCUCGUAAUGGAUCACGAUUAUUAACCGCGAUACCAGCGCGUACCGAGCAGCUCAACCAUGUGUGCACCAUAGUAGGCUCUCGGUCUCGUCGCGGCACCAUCAGUCGUUAGUCAUAACACCAUUACGAAACACAACCAAUGAGAAAUCCACAUAGCACAUAUAGAUGGAGCCCAUGAGAGUAUGGCUCAGAAAAUAAGAAUGUGACCGGUGUUGAAGCAAAGAUUGUUGGCAAAAGAGCAUCACAUGAGAAUUUUCUUCAACUCAAAGAACUAUUUUAUGAUCAACAUGGAGAUUAUCAGAUCAGAUAUUAGCACGAGAUUUGAUAUGAGGAUGAAUCGACCAUGAGAUCAAGAUUGAUGAGCUUUUAGAGGCAUGAGAGAAUUAAAGUCAAUAACAUAAUCCAUUGAACCAAAUGGAUCCACUGCUUAGAGAUGAAAUCGAUAAAACAGUGUCAUGAUCCUCAGAGAAGGGGGUAUGAGAACGAUCAGAAAUGAGAGAUUUAGGCGAGAUCAACAUCUGAUACUUGAGAACAGGUUAUAGCAGAUAACCAGAUAACGGGGCAGAAUCGAUAAAGGAUCCAGGGAUUCGGAUGAUAAUCCACAACAUGAUUCAUAAAGGUAACGAUUUACUAGAUCCAGGUGAAAAGAGAGGCAGUCGCAUGAGAUCGCUUAGGAUGAGCAGCAGAAAGGUUAUGAAGAUUUGGGGCAAGAUCUAUGGAAUGAAACAUGGCCUUGAUAGGGUUUGCGCAACUAGACACCUAACAACAAUUUUUUUUGACGUAACAAGUGCACAAGGAGACUUGGGAUGGUCUAGCAGUCAAGUUGUGGUGGUCUAUAAGUUGUGCAGGUGUAAAAUUCAAGUGUAAAACACAGAAGGGCUAAAAACACAAAAACAAGCACAUGAUAAUAAUUUUUUUAAGGUUUUACAAGGGAACCACUAGGUUGUUUGGAGAAGGAGGUCUUUUUAUGGGCAAAACAGGCAACAAUUUUUUUUUAUUGGCAAAGAGGGUUCAACAAUUACAAUACCACCUAGCUAGCAAGACAAGAGAAACACAUAGCACGACCUAACAAGACUUACCAAUCUGACACGAGGAAGGCAUUUCUUAUAGUUCCUAACAUAUCAAUACAUUACAUUAUUCACAAGUUCUUAUUAUUGGAAUAAAGGUGAGAGAAGCAUGUUGGUGCACAAGAGACAAUGAUGCGACAAUCAUGAUGCAUGCUCAUUCUAGUCGUCUUCUCAGACCUAACUAAUUUUCGGGUGCUUCUACAGCAUCCUUAUUAAUAGUAGUAGUAGCCUUUAUGGCCUAAAUAACUAGCCACCUAGCUACCCAUCUAUUCCUAAGGCUUCACGUCCUAGGUCUAUCCUUAUCGUCCUGACGAUCUAUCCAACUUUGGUUUCUAGCAAGUUUUACUUUAGAAAAGGUUGGUAAUCAUGACUUAUUGACUUCUCUGUGAUGGUAUUCGCUCCGAUGCCAGCUGUGGCGGAACCGCCCGAAUUAUUCCAGCUUAAGUGCCCAAGUCACACCCAUAAGGGCAGCAACACACUUAAACAGGAAUAACCUGCCAGUCCCUCGGAUCUAGUCCGAUAAAGCCACUUAUCCAGGAUCGAAUACCACUAGCUCACUCGAAGGUGAGGCAGAGAAAUACAAUAAAACAUAAUACCACAAAUUUAAUAAGUAUCAUUAGUGAUUACAUUAUCGAAGUUUCAGAAAUAAUAACCAUAAAUUUUAAUGCAGCGGAAAUAACUAACGGAGAAGAACCGAGUAACAUGGCGAAGCCUGGCCACACUACUCCUCCUGGUCCUCUCCUGCGGAAGCAAUAACCCACUUGACUGUCUAUCCCGGUGGCAGGGAUGGAGGCCAAGUCACACCAUCAACCACAACAAGGAGGUACCUGCAAAAAUUGUGCCACAAGCAAGGCUGAGUAUACUAAUACUCAGCUAGACUUACCCGGUGUGAGGAGUCUACUCCUCUACCUCUAGACAUGCAGCUGUUUGGCUGAGGGGUUUGGUUUGCCAAAAGCACUAGCUGAGUCUAAAAUCAAGUUUUAGCUUUUCAAGUUUUAGUAUGAUCCUUUUUAAACUAGAUGAGUACCUAGCUACUCAUACAUGAUAUCAAACAUUUUUAAGCAAUCAACAUCUUUUUCCAGUCACCUCAUUUCCACUUAUUACUCAAUGUAGCAGCAUGGAUCAAGCAGUCUCAUUAGCUGCGAGAAGCAGACGAUUCGAAUCGAGUUUUUAAACCUUGCAAGGUAAACCUAAACACACGACAUGCAGGGGCACUCCGUCCCCACACAUAUCAACCGUCCCCAUCGAUUCCCCGUCAGCAGAGAGGGGCUCACCGCCUUGGCGUACAAUGCCUCACUGACCCCGACUGGCCGUCGUGCAGUGACCGCACUUGUACCCACCAUAACCGGAAUGGGAGACCUCGUCUCAGGUCGCAUGAGGAGGGCAAUCUGCUGCCGGGUUCAAUCAGGUACUAGGCUUACCGAUUUACCAUAUUUCUCGGCAUAUGUUUAGUACGUUCAAACGCUUGACACACGGUACCACACCUUAAUCCUUAUUCCAAUUUCCGUCUCGAAGACUACGCAUCCCCAUGGACCGUCGUCAACAGACCAUCAUCAUUACGAUAUGAAAAUGGAUACAACCAAUUCCUGACCUCGCGCGAGUGCUAGAAAAAUCACUCGACUUCUACCGAGAUCCCUAAUUAUUAAAGCAGCUACUCGACCUAGCAUACUAGUAUCCAUCUCAAAAGGAAUCCUGAGUUCAUGCAACUAAGGUUCCAGUCAACUCCUACACUUAAGUGUACAGUACAAGCCUACAAACAUUAAGUGUAGUAAAAUAGUAUAUAUAAACGGUUAUGCAUAAAACCGGGGCUUGCCUUUAAUUUGACACUUAGAUAGUGUUUGCUGGGGGAGGUACUCGCUUGGCGAGCAUCCACUGGUUAUGUCCAUCCUUCCUUGGGUCGUCCACCGACUGCAUCUUGGGGUUGGCACCACAUCACUUGCACGGUCGUCACCUCUCGGUCCUAAAUGAGAUGCAGGAUGCAUAUGUAUGAAUACAAUGAAAAAUAUAACAAGCUAUAUAAAUACAUGGUAGCAAACUAACAUUUAAUUGUAAGACACCGCAACGACUAUACACAAGCGCUAGAUAUUCGUAUGUUAUCGGCGUUCAUCAUUAACACCAUUAACAAGACGACCACAUUUUAUUUCUUUACGCAACACAAUUACGAUAUGACAAGUACACACAUUUUAUUUAUUUGGAUACGGCUUUUUAUUAGUUCUCCGAUUAAUCGCGCAAAAGUAUCACCGACCACACAAGUCCAACCAAGACAACGUAAGCUGGAAUACGACAUAGGCAUCACUAACUACGGAACUCCUAGAUCCUAAUCAACUAGAGCAGAAACAUAUAAAACAGGACACUUAGGCGAUAUUAAGCUUAGUCAUGGCAAGUCUACAUUUAUUUAAGAGCAAGCCAAACGUUUUUAGCGAGAAGGGUGAACUAAACAAUCAAAAACGCACUAGCAGAAUUUUUGGACAGCAAUACAGCAGUCACUUGUUUCAGUCAUAACUCACAAGAUAUUUACCUAAAAAUAGUAAACUAGGACUUUCUAGAAAGCUUGAAAAGUGCUUUACAACUUUGGUAUUGUCAUCACAGCAUGAUUAAACACUUAGCAAGGUCAAAAGGUGUUAACACAACAGUGUUGUCCAGAUUUGGACAGAUUCAGACUUGUGACUUUAAAAAUUCAUAACUGAAGAUUCAGACAUCAAAACAAGGUGAUCUUAGACUUUCUGGAAAGCUAAUUAACUGCUCUACCAAUUAUUUAUAAACAUCCCUGGCUGGUUUAGUAUGUAUCAAGGGUAAAAUAUAUUAUGAAGGCUGUGCUGUCCAAAACUGGACAGAUUCAGUCUUCACACUUCAAACACAUGUAACUUAAUCUUCAGACCACCAAAAAUAGUGAUCCAAGACUUUUUGGAAAGCUUGGAAAAAGCACUAUAUAAAUUUUAUAAUCACCAAGAAGUGAUUCCAGGUUUAAUCAAAUCAAACAUUACAGUUUUCGAAAUCUGUUCUGACAGAGGACAGAACACAGCAAUCAGUUUGCAAAUUUCAUAACUCCUAAACCGUCAGACCUUUAGUUAUGAAAUUUUAACACAAGCAAGAUCAGAAAAGCAUCUACAACUUUCUUAUAACGACCAUGAACAGAUUGCAACAUUAAAUUGAGCAAACAAUGCAGUUUCUGAAAUCUGUACAGAAUUUGGACAGAUUAAGUUACUGAAUUUGUAAAAAUCCUAACUCCUAAACCGUCAGACCUAUGGCUGUCAAAUUUUAACACCAGCAAGAUAAUAAGGUUAUCUACCACUUUUCUAUAGCACAUAUCUACAGAAAACACAAUCUAGUUCAUCAAACAUACAGCACACCGAAAACAGUACGUGCAGCCCAAAACAGCAAUCAACACAUUUCAGCUUCUAUACAAUUCCAGAAUUGCCGCGUUCUAGAGACUUGAAUUAUUAUAACACUUUGACAUUUGUUAGAGUUAAAAUAACCAAGUGAGAACUAACAAGUAGACUUACUAAUUCUUAUACAAGUUAUUUUGCGCACUAAAAGCACCAUACUCAAUUAACAAUGCAUUCUCUAUAACAAUCAAUAUCAAAGCGCUUUUCACCAAUAGUUUGCAUUUUAAUUUAGACAUCACCUGAGCACUACUACUUUUCAUCACGACCAUAAACAUACGCAUUUAGACCACAACAUCAUACGAGGAUAUAUGCAUACUAGUUUCUAGUUUUACAUCUACAACUUCUUUACUAGUUAUUUUCAGCCACUUAAUCGGCAUCGAUUGAAUUAAACCUCUAACUCGACAAUUUGGGCACCACAAAUUUUCAGAAUUCUACCUAGACAUUUAGCGUCAUAUAGAGAGUCUACUAAUUAACUUGCCACCACUUGAAGUACUGGAAACACCUACAUAUAACAAUCACUCAACGCAAUUGAAUUCCUCUAUUUAACAAGCGUUGGCUAACACAGCAUAAAAAAAUAGUAAUUCAUACACAAGUUCAUAUUUUUCUCAAUCAUAACACUAUGAGACCAACCAAACUAGUUUCACCAUUUUAGACAUCUUAACUUAAAAUAUAGCUAAAAGUAAUUCGAUUAGUUUUCUUAACUACUUUUCUAUAUUAGGUCACGUAGCUCCCAAUUAAUCAACACACCAUAUUUCCUUUGACGCAACAGGUAGAGCACGUUUACUUGUUUCUAACAAUCUUUGGGUAUCAACAAUUAAUUGCCUUAUGGUAUUUAUCCGACUCGAAAACAUAGAGAAGGUGACGACUACUAUGGCAUGUCGUCACCUCAUCUUAAUCGCAUAAUAAAUUUUAGCUUUACUGAUCGAGUCUGCCGACUAACCGUUUAAACUAGUAAAACCUAUCCUUCGCAUCAAACAACACAUCACACAUCUUCCUAUCGAAACGUAAAAACAUCCGAGUUCUUUUCUACUUCCUUUUUCUUUCGCCACGAACUUCAAUCCAUACCAAUACAAUUUUUAAACACGCACCACAUCGACCAAAACACAAUUAGACAACUACAAAUCGCACGCAUCAAACAAUACAUCGCAUAUAUUCCUAUCGAAAUAUAAAAACGUUGGAGUCCUUUUCUACGUCUUUUUCUUUUGCCACGAACUUCAAUCCAUACAAAUACAUUUUCUUACACAUGCACAACAUAGACCAAAGCUUAAACAGAUUAAUCCACAAAAUACCAAGUGAACAACCUGGACGAAUCGAGGCUAGUCACAUGGGCUGUCCAUAAGGCUUGGCAUUUCGUCGAACGGCCAAACGCGGAGCGUGAUUUUGACGGUGGCUGCGAUAAUACACGAGUUUAGGGGCUUGGCAUAUCGUCGACACCAUGGAUACAAAAACAGCAAGGGUAGCGGGAUGUCUCACCGAGGGUCGACGAUGUCGCGAGCGGGUCUGCGCCAAAAACAGUGAACACCCGGGGAGCGUCACAACGUGCUGCAACAACACAUCUCCCUUGACAUUAUGCCGAGCACUUGGCAUGCGCGCAGCGGUAGCAGCGAGGAAGCCGGGGCUUGCAGGAACAGCGGCGUUUCGCCGAGGAGCUGCGCAGCGAGGGAAGGUGGGGCGAGCUGCUGCUGUGCGAGGGAGAAGGAGCAAGGGAACAGGGGCGCUGGCUGGGAGAGGUGGCUCGGCUAGGGGAUUUUUUUUUGGGCGCCAUGGCUGGGAGCAGAGGGUCAAGCUGCUGCUGCUAUGGAGUCCUUGCUGCUGGAAUUUCUGGGCGUCCAUGGGAGGUGGAGCGCAGAGCUGCUGCGCAGUGGGGCAAAAGGGGAGCAAGGGCUGGCAGCCAUGAACAGGGGGCUGCUGCUGGCGUGAGGGAGGAGUGGAAGAGCUGCAGCCGUGGGGAGGAAGAAGGUGAGGGGUGACGCCCAUGGAGCAGGGCUCGCUGGUGGCUGCUGCCGCCCUGCGCAAGGAGGAAGAAGGUGCCUGGGGGAGAAAGGAGAAGAGAGUGGCAGCUGGAAUUUUUUG